GAUGAACGCUAGCUACAGGCUUAACACAUGCAAGUCGAGGGGAAACGACAUCGAAAGCUUGCUUUUGAUGGGCGUCGACCGGCGCACGGGUGAGUAACGCGUAUCCAACCUGCCCACCACUUGGGGAUAACCUUGCGAAAGUAAGACUAAUACCCGAUGAUAUCCCUAGAAGACAUCUGAAAGGGAUUAAAGAUUUAUCGGUGAUGGAUGGGGAUGCGUCUGAUUAGCUUGUUGGCGGGGUAACGGCCCACCAAGGCAACGAUCAGUAGGGGUUCUGAGAGGAAGGUCCCCCACAUUGGAACUGAGACACGGUCCAAACUCCUACGGGAGGCAGCAGUGAGGAAUAUUGGUCAAUGGGCGAGAGCCUGAACCAGCCAAGUAGCGUGCAGGAUGACGGCCCUAUGGGUUGUAAACUGCUUUUAUAAGGGAAUAAAGUGAGUCUCGUGAGACUUUUUGCAUGUACCUUAUGAAUAAGGACCGGCUAAUUCCGUG
RNAcentral lists this ribosomal RNA (492 nucleotides) under uncultured bacterium. Its description in RNAcentral is "bacterial SSU rRNA". It matches the Rfam family "Bacterial small subunit ribosomal RNA", at positions 28 to 507 of the family's 1533-position model. The record is from RNAcentral.